Molecule: ribosomal RNA, 253 nt
Filed under: uncultured bacterium
Lineage: Bacteria
Description: partial 16S ribosomal RNA
Rfam family: Bacterial small subunit ribosomal RNA
Source: RNAcentral
UACGUAGGGGGCAAGCGUUGUCCGGAUUUAUUGGGCGUAAAGAGCGUGUAGGCGGCUGGGUAGGUCCGUUGUGAAAACUCGAGGCUCAACCUCGAGACGCCGAUGGAAACCCUCCAGCUAGAGUCCGGAAGAGGAGAGUGGAAUUCCUGGUGUAGCGGUGGAAUGCGCAGAUAUCAGGAAGAACACCAACGGCGAAGGCAGCUCGCUAGGACGGUACUGACGCUGAGACGCGAAAGCGUGGGGAGCGAACAGG